GUAAAGAGUUUCUUGACAGUGUCAAAUAUGAGUAAUCUAAGUUUUUGUUGUUUUUUAAGUUUCACCCUUAUUGUUUUUGUUUCUGUUUUUUAUAAUUUAAUUUAAAAAUAUCUAUCAAACAGUAACCCAUUGAAAAAAAUUACCUAAAUUAAACAAAAACUCUUUAUUUUUGCACAUAAAGUAAAAAAAUUGAGUUUUUUUCCACUGUGUAAAGUGUUUCUUGACAGACUGUAUAUAGACUGUCUAAAAGCAGACUCUCCAUUGGGGAAGGAGUGAUUUAGCUCCGCUGACCACAACCGCACAAGAAAAGAUAUGUUAACAGUUGGAUUUGUCGCCUUCGCUAGAGAGACAAAGAAAGAAAACAAACUGUUUUCAAGCGCUGACUUUCCGCUCGAACAUCGGCCAUACUUUCAUUUCAAUUGGACACGUCGACCACAGAUAACAUUAUUCUGAAAAAUAAUUGUGUCUCUAAAAUAAUUAAUUAGUGCAAGUGCCAAGCUGUUUAUUUAUCGGUGAGAUAGAACGGCUAACACUAAAAAAACAAGUAAGAGGCUCCCUGAACCCUCCAAGCUGGUAUUCUAUUCAUUCUGCACUUCUUUUAUGCAUACAUGCAAACAUACGCAUCCACACGUACGUAUAAGCACACGCUCUGCUAAAGCACAAGUUUCUAGUACUUGGCUACCAAAAAUCUGUAAAAUUUAUCGGAUGAAUUAUCGAAAAAAAUAUGAUAAACUGGCAUUGCGUAUGGUACAAACGAGUAUGCAUGUUUCAACUCUCUAGCUCUGAUAACUUCUGAGAUGGACGCACUCAUACGCACGGACAGACAGACAAAUAGAGAUACAAAUUAUUAACAAAAAACACAAAUUACAAAAAGGAUUGCAAAAAGAGCAAAUUAUCAACAAUACUUAUUCUGUGUAGAAGCGAUCGACUGAAGAAAUCGCUACGAAAAGCAGCAUUGAACACCAGAGAAUGUAGAAGUCUUAUCAGCACAGACGUAGAAAACCCCGAAAUAAGCCCAGUUAAGGUGUCUGCAGCAUCAAAACAGAUUAUUGGAACACAUGUAAGUGAUACUACUAUUCGCAGUAGGUUAAAGGAUGUUGACAUAAACACCGCAGUGCAGCCUUUUACCAGAUUUGGAGGUGGAACAGUAAUGUUUUUCGGUUGCAUGUCAUACUAUGGUUUUGGAGAUUUGGUGCCAAUAGAAGGCACUCUCAAGGAUAUCUCAGGAUAUCUACAGUCGGAAAAAAAGAUUAGGUACGCGCCUUAAAUCAACAUUUAUUUUAAAAAAUACUCUUUAAAUUAUAUGAACAAUUAUAAACUACGAUUAGUUUACAUAUAAGAGAGGUAUUUAUUUAUGAAAUAGGCAAACAGAAAUUAGUUUGCUUCAUAUAUGACCUUUUUAGACGGGAAGGUGUAUGCGAAAUUGGCCGAACGAUGGGGGCCACAUCUGGAGUUGGGAAACUGGUAUUUAUAGAUACCAAAAUGGACAAGUAUUACUAUUUGAGAAUAUUGAAAGAUAAUCUCAAUGAGAGCGCGACUCAGCUCCAGUUAGGUGAAGGUGUGGUUUUGUAUAAUUCAAAGCAAUUACAUACUCCAGGCCUCAAUCCAAUUGAGCACAUUUGGAAUUUACUUGGUACAAGGAUCCCUAAUGUCGGCUUUGAGCUCCGAGUUGGUUAAACCAAACCAACCAAACCAUUGGUACGGAGUAUGCGUCGCCGACUGCUUGCAGUAAUUGGUGCAAGAGAUGGCCCUACUAAAUAUUAAUACAUAAUUAGACUUAGUUUUUUUUAAGUGUACGAGAAACAAUCUAUUUCCAACCAUUGACUGAGUAUGGCAGUAAGAUACUACUCCCUGCCAUAAAAGAUCAAUACCCUCAAAGUUUUUGAGGGACUUAAUCCAAGCCGUUCUACCCUGGCCUGCGCAAAGUCCGGACCUUAACAUUAUUGAAAAUGUUUGGGAAAUCUAAGAUUAUUAUUCUGGCAAAUAAAAUACCCCCAUCGGGUCGGUGUACUAUUGAAAUUA
Long non-coding RNA from Drosophila mojavensis, 2022 nucleotides. RefSeq lists it as uncharacterized. The transcript is spliced from 2 exons. Lineage: Eukaryota; Metazoa; Arthropoda; Insecta; Diptera; Drosophilidae. The record is from RefSeq and is a predicted model, not a curated record.